AAAAUCUCUUUAAAGCAUCUGCUGAUUAUUGGACCUUAAGAACCAAACGUUUAAUUUGUUUAGCAAAUUCUAAUGGUUUUGACAUCAGGAUUGCCUGGAUUCCAGGUCAUUCCAAUAUCUUGGGAAAUACAGAGGCAGAUUUGUUGGCUAAUAUUGGAAAAGAUUUAAAUAUUCCGAAAUCUAUGGAGAUGGAUUCAAUAGAUAUUUUUAAUUCAAUUAAAACUGAUAUUUUGUGUAAUUAUAAGGAAAAUUGGAAAUUUCGUAUGAAAGAAAAAAAGCAUGUGUAUUUUAAUAUUCAAACAAUCUUCCCAGAUAAACAAUGGUUUAAAAAUUUCCAGUAUAUAGAUAGAAGACAUAUUACAACGUUAAUUAGAAUGCGUACAGGCCAUUGCUUAACAAAAAACCAUUUAUAUAAAAUUAAAGUGAAGGAAGAUCCAUUCUUUUCCGAAUGCAGUCUGUUUGUGUGACCUCUAUCCUAUGUGCCUUUUUGUGUGAUAUAAUCUUCCUUUCAGCACGUCAUUUAUAUAUUUAAUAAAUAAUAAUAAUAACAUUUUACAGUCACAGGUCACAGGUUACCUUCAUAGAAGUUAGUUAUAUUAAAAUUUACCCAUUAUACAUUUUACUCAGAUAAGAAUCAGUGGCCUUGAUAUGGUUUAGAGCCAGUCAACAUCUUGGUCACUCCCAAAUUGAGCUGGCGGUUGCCUUGUAGCAGAGCCA
This 717-nucleotide long non-coding RNA is filed under the name Sitophilus oryzae (rice weevil). RNAcentral describes it as "uncharacterized LOC115879230". The record is from RNAcentral. Lineage: Eukaryota; Metazoa; Arthropoda; Insecta; Coleoptera; Curculionidae.